This 372-nucleotide ribosomal RNA is filed under the name uncultured organism. Its description in RNAcentral is "bacterial SSU rRNA". It matches the Rfam family "Bacterial small subunit ribosomal RNA", at positions 526 to 896 of the family's 1533-position model. The record is from RNAcentral.
CAGAGGGUGCAAGCGUUGUUCGGAAUUAUUGGGCGUAAAGCGCGUGUAGGCGGUCUUGCAAGUCGGGUGUGAAAUCCCUUGGCUCAACUGAGGAAGUGCGCCCGAAACUGCAGGACUUGGGUACCGGAGAGGAUGGCGGAAUUCCCCAAGUAGAGGUGAAAUUCGUAGAUAUGGGGAGGAACACCGGUGGCGAAGGCGGCCAUCUGGACGGAUACUGACGCUGAGACGCGAAAGCAUGGGGAGCAAACAGGAUUAGAUACCCUGGUAGUCCAUGCCGUAAACGAUGAGAACUAGGUGUCGCGGGAGUUGACCCCUGCGGUGCCGUAGCUAACGCAUUAAGUUCUCCGCCUGGGAAGUACGGCCGCAAGGCUA